AAGACGGUGGAGUAUGUGGUUUAAUUCGAUGCAGCGCGAAGAACCUUACCUGGUCUUGACAUCCCGGAGACCCUUAGGAAACUAAGGGGGUGGCUUCCAUCUGGAAGAAUCUGGAGACAGGUGCUGCAUGGCUGUCGUCAGCUCGUGUCGUGAGAUGUUGGGUUAAGUCCCGCAACGAGCGCAACCCUUGCCUUUAGUUGCCAGCAGUUCGGCUGGGCACUCUAAAGGGACUGCCGGUGUUAAACCGGAGGAAGGUGGGGAUGACGUCAAGUCCUCAUGGCCUUUAUGACCAGGGCUACACACGUACUACAAUGGCCGAUACAAAGGGCAGCGACACUGCGAGGUGAAGCCAAUCCCGUAAAAUCGGUCUCAGUCCGGAUUGGAGUCUGCAACUCGACUCCAUGAAGUUGGAAUCGCUAGUAAUCGUGGAUCAGCAUGCCACGGUGAAUACGUUCCCGGGCCUU
This 464-nucleotide ribosomal RNA is filed under the name uncultured Desulfobulbus sp. RNAcentral describes it as "bacterial SSU rRNA". It matches the Rfam family "Bacterial small subunit ribosomal RNA", at positions 927 to 1382 of the family's 1533-position model. Lineage: Bacteria; Pseudomonadati; Thermodesulfobacteriota; Desulfobulbia; Desulfobulbales; Desulfobulbaceae. The record is from RNAcentral.